CUGGCGGCAGGCCUAACACAUGCAAGUCGAGCGGAAACGACACUAACUAUNCUUCGGGUGCNUUNAUGGGCGUCGAGCGGCGGACGGGUGAGUAAUGCCUAGGAAAUUGCCUUGAUGUGGGGGAUAACCAUUGGAAACGAUGGCUAAUACCGCAUAAUGCCUACGGGCCAAAGAGGGGGACCUUCGGGCCUCUCGCGUCAAGAUAUGCCUAGGUGGGAUUAGCUAGUUGGUGAGGUAAUGGCUCACCAAGGCGACGAUCCCUANCUGGUCUGAGAGGAUGAUCAGCCACACUGGAACUGAGACACGGUCCAGACUCCUACGGGAGGCANCAGUGGGGAAUAUUGNACAAUGGGCGAAAGCCUGAUGCANCCAUGCCGNGUGUAUGAAGAAGGCCUUCGGGUUGUAAAGUACUUUCAGUNGUGAGGAAGGGUGUGUAGUUAAUAGCUGCGCAUCUUGACGUUAGCAACAGAAGAAGCACCGGCUAACUCCGUGCCAGCAGCCGCGGUAAUACGGAGGGUGCGAGCGUUAAUCGGAAUUCUGGGCGUGAAGCGCAUGCAGGUGGUUCAUUAAGUCAGAUGUGAAAGCCCGGGGCUCAACCUCGGAACUGCAUUUGAAACUGGUGAACU
RNAcentral lists this ribosomal RNA (626 nucleotides) under marine gamma proteobacterium SB10. RNAcentral's name for it is "bacterial SSU rRNA". It matches the Rfam family "Bacterial small subunit ribosomal RNA", at positions 36 to 642 of the family's 1533-position model. The record is from RNAcentral. Lineage: Bacteria; Pseudomonadati; Pseudomonadota; Gammaproteobacteria.